Molecule: ribosomal RNA, 501 nt
Filed under: uncultured bacterium
Lineage: Bacteria
Description: partial 16S ribosomal RNA
Rfam family: Bacterial small subunit ribosomal RNA
Source: RNAcentral
AUUGAACGCUGGCGGCAGGCUUAACACAUGCAAGUCGAGCGGAGAUGAGGUGCUUGCACCUUAUCUUAGCGGCGGACGGGUGAGUAAUGCUUAGGAAUCUGCCUAUUAGUGGGGGACAACAUUCCGAAAGGAAUGCUAAUACCGCAUACGUACUACGGGAGAAAGCAGGGGAUCUUCGGACCUUGCGCUAAUAUAUGAGCCUAAGUCGGAUUAGCUGGUUGGGGGGGUAAGGGCCUACCAAGGCGACGAUCUGUAGCGGGUCUGAGAGGAUGAUCCGCCACACUGGGACUGAGACACGGCCCAGACUCCUACGGGAGGCAGCAGUGGGGAAUAUUGGACAAUGGGGGAAACCCUGAUCCAGCCAUGCCGCGUGUGUGAAGAAGGCCUUAUGGUUGUAAAGCACUUUAAGCGAGGAGGAGGCUACUGAGACUAAUACUCUUGGAUAGUGGACGUUACUCGCAGAAUAAGCACCGGCUAACUCUGUGCCAGCCGCCGCCGUAA